AGUGGGAUAACUGGGUCAAAUGGUGGUUCCGUUCCAAGGAAUCUCCAUACUGCUUUCCAGAUUGGUUGCACCAAUUUGCAGUCCCACCAGCAAU
RNAcentral lists this microRNA precursor (94 nucleotides) under Marmota monax (woodchuck). Lineage: Eukaryota; Metazoa; Chordata; Mammalia; Rodentia; Sciuridae. The record is from RNAcentral.